GAGUUUGAUCCUGGCUCAGGACGAACGCUGGCGGCGUGCCUAAUACAUGCAAGUCGAACGAACUCUGGUAUUGAUUGGUGCUUGCAUCAUGAUUUACAUUUGAGUGAGUGGCGAACUGGUGAGUAACACGUGGGAAACCUGCCCAGAAGCGGGGGAUAACACCUGGAAACAGAUGCUAAUACCGCAUAACAACUUGGACCGCAUGGUCCGAGUUUGAAAGAUGGCUUCGGCUAUCACUUUUGGAUGGUCCCGCGGCGUAUUAGCUAGAUGGUGGGGUAACGGCUCACCAUGGCAAUGAUACGUAGCCGACCUGAGAGGGUAAUCGGCCACAUUGGGACUGAGACACGGCCCAAACUCCUACGGGAGGCAGCAGUAGGGAAUCUUCCACAAUGGACGAAAGUCUGAUGGAGCAACGCCGCGUGAGUGAAGAAGGGUUUCGGCUCGUAAAACUCUGUUGUUAAAGAAGAACAUAUCUGAGAGUAACUGUUCAGGUAUUGACGGUAUUUAACCAGAAAGCCACGGCUAACUACGUGCCAGCAGCCGCGGUAAUACGUAGGUGGCAAGCGUUGUCCGGAUUUAUUGGGCGUAAAGCGAGCGCAGGCGGUUUUUUAAGUCUGAUGUGAAAGCCUUCGGCUCAACCGAAGAAGUGCAUCGGAAACUGGGAAACUUGAGUGCAGAAGAGGACAGUGGAACUCCAUGUGUAGCGGUGAAAUGCGUAGAUAUAUGGAAGAACACCAGUGGCGAAGGCGGCUGUCUGGUCUGUAACUGACGCUGAGGCUCGAAAGUAUGGGUAGCAAACAGGAUUAGAUACCCUGGUAGUCCAUACCGUAAACGAUGAAUGCUAAGUGUUGGAGGGUUUCCGCCCUUCAGUGCUGCAGCUAACGCAUUAAGCAUUCCGCCUGGGGAGUACGGCCGCAAGGCUGAAACUCAAAGGAAUUGACGGGGGCCCGCACAAGCGGUGGAGCAUGUGGUUUAAUUCGAAGCUACGCGAAGAACCUUACCAGGUCUUGACAUACUAUGCAAAUCUAAGAGAUUAGACGUUCCCUUCGGGGACAUGGAUACAGGUGGUGCAUGGUUGUCGUCAGCUCGUGUCGUGAGAUGUUGGGUUAAGUCCCGCAACGAGCGCAACCCUUAUUAUCAGUUGCCAGCAUUAAGUUGGGCACUCUGGUGAGACUGCCGGUGACAAACCGGAGGAAGGUGGGGAUGACGUCAAAUCAUCAUGCCCCUUAUGACCUGGGCUACACACGUGCUACAAUGGAUGGUACAACGAGUUGCGAACUCGCGAGAGUAAGCUAAUCUCUUAAAGCCAUUCUCAGUUCGGAUUGUAGGCUGCAACUCGCCUACAUGAAGUCGGAAUCGCUAGUAAUCGCGGAUCAGCAUGCCGCGGUGAAUACGUUCCCGGGCCUUGUACACACCGCCCGUCACACCAUGAGAGUUUGUAACACCCAAAGUCGGUGGGGUAACCUUUUAGGAACCAGCCGCCUAAGGUGGGACAGAUGAUUAGGGUG
This 1508-nucleotide ribosomal RNA is filed under the name Lactiplantibacillus pentosus. Its description in RNAcentral is "partial 16S ribosomal RNA". It matches the Rfam family "Bacterial small subunit ribosomal RNA". The record is from RNAcentral. Lineage: Bacteria; Bacillati; Bacillota; Bacilli; Lactobacillales; Lactobacillaceae.